AGGCGGGACACAGAUGCCACGCCCCUUUCCCGGAGGCGGGUUGGGCGGCCCCUUAGUGGGAGGGGCCAGGGGUGCCACGCUCCUCCUUCUGGACCGGGGAGAGACCGAGGUUUGCUCGCGGGGUGUGAGGGCGUUCCUUGCUGAGGCGCGAGGCGGUCCGCGGGUGUCUGGGCUUAGCCCGCCUUUAAAGACCUCGGGCGGAAAACUCCGCGCCCUGCGUCCCGCCUGGGUCAGCCUCAAAGUAAGGGACACCGGCCUUGGGCGACUCGGACCAGGCUCUGGCCGUCUGUACUGAGCGCCGCCGCGAAGGUGUCUGGCGUGGGCCGCGACAGAACCUCCCUGUCCGUUCUCAGGACACUUCCCCGGAAGCUGUAACGGAGACGGCCUUUCCCCUGGGCAGCCCGGCCCGCACUCUGUGCUUCUCAUUUCUCCCGCUCCCUGCGCUCCCCAGGCCCCGCACUCACCCGGUCAUCUUUCCUGACCCCGGCUGGAAUCACGUGACUGUAGCCUCUAAAAAAUGCUCAUGCCUGGGCCCCUCUCCAAACCAAGGGAAAUCUAAGGUGUACCUGGCGUUGGUAUUUUUUUUGGUGAAGCUCCUCAGUCUACCAAGAUGACAUCAGAACAGCCAGUGGGAUGCAGUAUCCCCACUGCCAGACCCUUUGUUUCUGGAAGAGAAGCCAGACUGCAAAGGGCACCGAGUACAGAAGCUAACGGAAUUGGGAAUGAUGAGACAAAAAGCUGAAACGGUUAGUGUGACCCAACAUCCUAACAUGCCUGACUGUUAUAUCACACAUGGUAAUUUGGGGGCUGGGAGGCGACAAACAGGGAAAACCCCUUUGGAUACAAUGUGUAAUGGAAUUUACAAAGCAGUACUGUACCCCUCAAAUUAACAACAGCUGUGUGGAACAAGUCUUUUUAAAAGUACAUGGUUUGUACAGGUA
Molecule: long non-coding RNA, 941 nt
Organism: Oryctolagus cuniculus (rabbit)
Lineage: Eukaryota; Metazoa; Chordata; Mammalia; Lagomorpha; Leporidae
Source: RefSeq, a predicted model, not a curated record